ACGCUCGACACCUACGAGACAGCAGUGGGGAAUAUUGCACAAUGGGGGAAACCCUGAUGCAGCGAUGCCGCGUGAAGGAAGAAGUAUCUCGGUAUGUAAACUUCUAUCAGCAGGGAAGAAAAUGACGGUACCUGACUAAGAAGCCCCGGCUAACUACGUACCACGCAGCCGCGGUAAUCUGAGCGGGCUGGCAAGGC
RNAcentral lists this ribosomal RNA (197 nucleotides) under uncultured bacterium. Its description in RNAcentral is "partial 16S ribosomal RNA". It matches the Rfam family "Bacterial small subunit ribosomal RNA", at positions 326 to 539 of the family's 1533-position model. The record is from RNAcentral.